UGGCAGAGUGGUUAAAGCACUUGGUUGGUAAUCAAAAGUUUGGUGGUUCAAACCCACC
RNAcentral lists this transfer RNA (58 nucleotides) under Loxodonta africana (African savanna elephant). It matches the Rfam family "tRNA", at positions 8 to 63 of the family's 71-position model. Rfam says of the family: Transfer RNA (tRNA) molecules are approximately 80 nucleotides in length. Their secondary structure includes four short double-helical elements and three loops (D, anti-codon, and T loops). Further hydrogen bonds mediate the characteristic L-shaped molecular structure. tRNAs have two regions of fundamental functional importance: the anti-codon, which is responsible for specific mRNA codon recognition, and the 3' end, to which the tRNAs corresponding amino acid is attached (by aminoacyl-tRNA synthetases). tRNAs cope with the degeneracy of the genetic code in two manners: having more than one tRNA (with a specific anti-codon) for a particular amino acid; and 'wobble' base-pairing, i.e. permitting non-standard base-pairing at the 3rd anti-codon position. The record is from Rfam by way of RNAcentral. Lineage: Eukaryota; Metazoa; Chordata; Mammalia; Proboscidea; Elephantidae.